UACGGAGGGUGCAAGCGUUAAUCGGAAUUACUGGGCGUAAAGCGUACGUAGGCGGCUUGUUAAGCAAGAUGUGAAAUCCCCGGGCUCAACCUGGGAGUGGCAUUUUGAACUGGCAGGCUCGAGUUCUGAAGAGGGUGGUAGAAUUUCCAGUGUAGCGGUGAAAUGCGUAGAUAUUGGAAGGAAUACCGGUGGCGAAGGCGGCCACCUGGUCAGAAACUGACGCUGAGGUACGAAAGCGUGGGGAGCAAACAGG
This 253-nucleotide ribosomal RNA is filed under the name uncultured microorganism. RNAcentral's name for it is "partial 16S ribosomal RNA". It matches the Rfam family "Bacterial small subunit ribosomal RNA", at positions 524 to 776 of the family's 1533-position model. The record is from RNAcentral.